UACGGAGGGGGCUAGCGUUGUUCGGAAUUACUGGGCGUAAAGCGCACGUAGGCGGCUUUGCAAGUUAGAGGUGAAAGCCCGGGGCUCAACUCCGGAAUUGCCUUUAAAACUGCAUCGCUUGAACACGGGAGAGGUGAGUGGAAUUCCGAGUGUAGAGGUGAAAUUCGUAGAUAUUCGGAAGAACACCAGUGGCGAAGGCGGCUCACUGGACCGUUGUUGACGCUGAGGUGCGAAAGCGUGGGGAGCAAACAGG
Molecule: ribosomal RNA, 253 nt
Filed under: uncultured bacterium
Lineage: Bacteria
Description: partial 16S ribosomal RNA
Rfam family: Bacterial small subunit ribosomal RNA
Source: RNAcentral